This 255-nucleotide ribosomal RNA is filed under the name uncultured bacterium. RNAcentral's name for it is "partial 16S ribosomal RNA". It matches the Rfam family "Bacterial small subunit ribosomal RNA", at positions 524 to 777 of the family's 1533-position model. The record is from RNAcentral.
UACGGAGGGUGCGAGCGUUAUCCGGAUUCACUGGGUUUAAAGGGUGCGUAGGUGGGUUUGUAAGUCAGUGGUGAAAUCUCCAAGCUUAACUUGGAAACUGCCAUUGAUACUAUAGAUCUUGAAUUUUCCGGAGGUCAGCGGAAUAUGUCAUGUAGCGGUGAAAUGCUUAGAUAUGACAUAGAACACCGAUUGCGAAGGCAGCUGGCUACAGGAAUAUUGACACUGAGGCACGAAAGCGUGGGGAGUCAAACAGGA